RNAcentral lists this microRNA (23 nucleotides) under Gallus gallus (chicken). RNAcentral describes it as "microRNA Ros-gga". The record is from RNAcentral. Lineage: Eukaryota; Metazoa; Chordata; Aves; Galliformes; Phasianidae.
CCUGCCUAGAUGGAUGCCCAUCC